Molecule: ribosomal RNA, 253 nt
Filed under: uncultured bacterium
Lineage: Bacteria
Description: partial 16S ribosomal RNA
Rfam family: Bacterial small subunit ribosomal RNA
Source: RNAcentral
UACGUAGGUGGCAAGCGUUGUCCGGAAUUAUUGGGCGUAAAGCGCGCGCAGGCGGUUCCUUAAGUCUGAUGUGAAAGCCUACGGCUCAACCGUGGAGGGUCAUUGGAAACUGGGGGACUUGAGUGCAGAAGAGGAGAGCGGAAUUCCACGUGUAGCGGUGAAAUGCGUAGAGAUGUGGAGGAACACCAGUGGCGAAGGCGGCUCUCUGGUCUGUAACUGACGCUGAGGCGCGAAAGCGUGGGGAGCGAAAGGG